GAUGAAGAACGCAGCGAAAAGCGAUACUUGGUGUGAAUUGCAGAAUCCCGUGAACCAUCGAGUCUUUGAACGCAAGUUGCGCCCGAAGCCACUAGGCCGAGGGCACGCCUGCCUGGGCGUCACACGUCGUUGCCCCCCACCAUCUACUCCUUCGGGAUUGCGGGGGGCGGAUGAUGGCCUCCCGUGCGCCUAGCCGCGCGGUUGGCAUAAAUACCAAGUCCUCGGCGACGCACGCCACGACAAUCGGUGGUUGCGAAACCUCGGUUGCCCGUCGUGUGCGUUCGUCGCGCAUCGAGGGCUCGAAAAAAUGCUCGGCUCCGGCUCGGCUUUCAACGCGACCCCAGGUCAGGCGGGGUUACCCGCUGAAUUUAAGCAUAUCAAUAAGCGGAGGA
RNAcentral lists this unclassified non-coding RNA (392 nucleotides) under soil metagenome. RNAcentral's name for it is "partial contains 5.8S ribosomal RNA, internal transcribed spacer 2, and large subunit ribosomal RNA". The stretch from base 1 to 122 matches the Rfam family "5.8S ribosomal RNA", at positions 35 to 154 of the family's 154-position model. The record is from RNAcentral.